AGCGAACGCUGGCGGCAGGCCUAACACAUGCAAGUCGAACGAACUCUUCGGAGUUAGUGGCGGACGGGUGAGUAACACGUGGGAACGUGCCUUUUGGUUCGGAAUAACUCAGGGAAACUUGUGCUAAUACCGAAUGUGCCCUUCGGGGGAAAGAUUUAUCGCCAUUAGAGCGGCCCGCGUCUGAUUAGCUGGUUGGUGAGGUAACGGCUCACCAAGGCGACGAUCAGUAGCUGGUCGGAGUGGAUGACCAGCCACACUGGGACUGAGGCACGGCCCAGACUCCUACGGGAGGCAGCAGUGGGGAAUCUUGCGCAAUGGGCGAAAGCCUGACGCAGCCAUGCCGCGUGAAUGAUGAAGGUCUUAGGAUUGUAAAAUUCUUUCACCGGGGACGAUAAUGACGGUACCCGGAGAAGAAGCCCCGGCUAACUUCGUG
Molecule: ribosomal RNA, 433 nt
Filed under: uncultured bacterium
Lineage: Bacteria
Description: partial 16S ribosomal RNA
Rfam family: Bacterial small subunit ribosomal RNA
Source: RNAcentral